This 465-nucleotide ribosomal RNA is filed under the name uncultured bacterium. Its description in RNAcentral is "partial 16S ribosomal RNA". It matches the Rfam family "Bacterial small subunit ribosomal RNA", at positions 28 to 507 of the family's 1533-position model. The record is from RNAcentral.
GACGAACGCUGGCGGCGUGCUUAACACAUGCAAGUCGAACGGAAAGGCCCCUUUGGGGGUACUCGAGUGGCGAACGGGUGAGUAACACGUGAGUAACCUGCCCUUGACUUCGGGAUAACUUCAGGAAACUGGGGCUAAUACCGGAUAGGAAUCCUUGCUGCAUGGUGGGGGUUGGAAAGCUUCGGCGGUUUUGGAUGGACUCGCGGCUUAUCAGCUUGUUGGUGGGGUAGUGGCUUACCAAGGCUUUGACGGGUAGCCGGCCUGAGAGGGCGACCGGCCACAUUGGGACUGAGAUACGGCCCAGACUCCUACGGGAGGCAGCAGUGGGGAAUAUUGCACAAUGCGCGGAAGCCUGAUGCAGCAACGCCGCGUGCGGGAUGACGGCCUUCGGGUUGUAAACCGCUUUCAGCAGGGGCGAAGCUUGUGGUGACGGUACCUGCAGAAGAAGCACCGGCUAACUACGUG